GCCCCUAGCGGCGGUGCCGCGCAGCCAGUCUCGGUCUCGCGAAAUUGAGCGAGAUUACGGAAGCCGGAAGGAUUGGUCAAGGUUUUCCGGAGCUAAGGGCCAACUACGGCUCUGAGGCCCUGGAUAUAUAAAGAUGAAAAAAACACCUGGUUCCUGUGUGGCACACAGUUCAAUAGAGGAGUAGAUGUAAGAAGCAGCAAAUAUGGCAUAGUGGAAAGAAAGAGCCCAGGAAAUAGUUGAGAAAGAAAGACUGAACAGACUUACAGUCUCUUAGUCUGGGUGAGAUGAACCACCCACAUGAGAGAAGAUCAGAAGAGGAUGAAGAUCAGAAGAGGAUGCUGCCAAACCUCAAUGGAUUAUCAGCACAGCAGUGAAACAUGAUAUUGCAAGGAUACCAGUUUCCAAAAAUGAGACUAAUUAAAAUAUAAAGUGGACAGCCCUUUUACCUGGAUGUCAUAGUGGCAUAUUUAAGUCCCCCAGCUCAACAACAACCAGGGAGGGGGAAGAGGACAAAGGGAAUGCAAAUAAAAAUGAAUUUUCAUUUUGGUACAUCUCAAUUUGUUUCUUGUUAAACAGGCUAAAAGAAAAUGAUUUUCUGCUCCCUAACUGCUUUUCUAAUCAUCUAGCUUUAGAUUUGUUCCUGGAUAAUUUUAAGAUGUGCUCAUUUCUGUAGAGAAAUAAACAUGAAGCCAGCCUAAAAACCUGUGAGAAGCUAAUGUGCUUUGUGUAGGUAAGCAAUUUAAAAACUAAAGUGUAGGUACAUUAUUGAGAGGAAAGGUAAAAAAGCACAGUAGACAGCCAAAAAUAGAUGGUUUUCUGUAUCAUUUUAGAGAUGUGAUGAUUGAGUAUUUGCAUUCUUUGUCUAAUCAGCAUAUACACAGCUGCACUAAAAAAAAAAAUCAGUCCAUUUACCCUAUAAAUGUGAUCUGAGAGAACUGAAUUUGGUGUCUACCUGGUUAAAGCUUUUCUUCCUUUAACAGGAUGAUUUAAGGGGAAUAUAAUAGUCCCUUGCCACUCACCUGUAAAAUUUACUGUGAAUUUAAAGUUCACAUAGUGUCUCUGGAUAAAAUAUAGAAGCUCUACUCACAUUACCUCAUCGUCCUAUAACUUCUCUGGGACACAGUCUUUCAUUUCUUCAAGAUUUGAUUUUAAAAUGUUAUCUAGGGAGUUCUCAGUGGGUUAAGGAUCCAGGGUCAUCACUGCAGUGGCUUUGGUUCAGUUCCUUGCCCAGGAACUUCCACAUGCCAUAGGUACAGCCAAAAAAAAAAAAAAAAAAAGUGCUAUCUAGUUUUACAGCACUUGAACUUUGUGGGUUCUUAGUUCCUAAAAUAGUCCUGUCCUUUCCAGCUUUAAAUUUCUGUGACAGUGUGAUGCAUGUUUGAAAAUAAAGAUACUUCCUUUUCAGAGAAAAGUACCCCAAAGUAUAAUUUCAUCAUUAUUAGCAUUAAGUUAUUUUUUUACUGGCAUUUUAAAAAUUAAAGUAUAGUUGAUUUACAAUGCUCUGUCAAUUUCUGCUGUA
Molecule: non-coding RNA, 1519 nt
Organism: Sus scrofa (pig)
Lineage: Eukaryota; Metazoa; Chordata; Mammalia; Artiodactyla; Suidae
Source: RefSeq, a predicted model, not a curated record